RNAcentral lists this ribosomal RNA (1979 nucleotides) under human gut metagenome. Its description in RNAcentral is "bacterial LSU rRNA". It matches the Rfam family "Bacterial large subunit ribosomal RNA", at positions 3 to 1990 of the family's 2925-position model. The record is from RNAcentral.
UUAAGUUAAUAAGGGCGCACGGUGGAUGCCUUGGCACUAGGAGCCGAAGAAGGACGGGACUAACACCGAUAUGCUUCGGGGAGCUGUAAGUGAGCUGAUCCGAAGAUUUCCGAAUGGGGGAACCCACUGUUCGUAAUGGAACAGUAUCCUUGCUUGAAUACAUAGAGCAUGGAAGGCAGACCCAGGGAACUGAAACAUCUAAGUACCUGGAGGAAGAGAAAGCAAAUGCGAUUCCCUGAGUAGCGGCGAGCGAAACGGGAUUAGCCCAAACCAAGAGGCUUGCCUCUUGGGGUUGUAGGACACUCUAUACGGAGUUACAAAGGAACGGGGUAGACGAAGAAGUCUGGAAAGGCUCGUCAAAGAAGGUAACAACCCUGUAGUCGAAACUUCGUUCCCUCUUGAGUGGAUCCUGAGUACGGCGGGACACGUGAAAUCCCGUCGGAAGCUGGGAGGACCAUCUCCCAAGGCUAAAUACUCCCUAGUGACCGAUAGUGAACCAGUACCGUGAGGGAAAGGUGAAAAGCACCCCGGGAGGGGAGUGAAAGAGAACCUGAAACCGUGUGCCUACAAGUAGUCGAAGCCCGUUAAUGGGUGACGGCGUACCUUUUGUAGAAUGGACCGGCGAGUUACGAUCGUAUGCAAGGUUAAGUGGAAGACACGGAGCCGCAGCGAAAGCGAGUCUGAAUAGGGCGAUAUAGUAUGCGGUCGUAGACCCGAAACCGUGUGAUCUACCCAUGUCCAGGGUGAAGGUCAGGUAACACUGACUGGAGGCCCGAACCCACGUAUGUUGAAAAAUGCGGGGAUGAGGUGUGGGUAGGGGUGAAAUGCCAAUCGAACACGGAGAUAGCUGGUUCUCUCCGAAAUAGCUUUAGGGCUAGCCUCAAGGAAAGAGUACUGGAGGUAGAGCACUGAUUGAACUAGGGGCCCUCAUCGGGUUACCGAAUUCAGUCAAACUCCGAAUGCCAGCUACUUAUCCUUGGGAGUCAGACUAUGGGUGAUAAGGUUCAUAGUCGAAAGGGAAACAGCCCAGACCGCCAGCUAAGGUCCCAAAGUAUACGUUAAGUGGAAAAGGAUGUGGAGUUGCCCAGACAACCAGGAUGUUGGCUUAGAAGCAGCCACCAUUUAAAGAGUGCGUAAUAGCUCACUGGUCGAGUGACUCUGCGCCGAAAAUGUACCGGGGCUAAACGUAUCACCGAAGCUGCGGAUUGUUCUACGAACAAUGGUAGGAGAGCGUUCAAAGUGCAGUGAAGUCAGAUCGUGAGGACUGGUGGAGCGCUUUGAAGUGAGAAUGCCGGUAUGAGUAGCGAAAAAAGAGUGAGAAUCUCUUUCACCGAAUGCCUAAGGUUUCCUGAGGAAGGCUCGUCCUCUCAGGGUUAGUCGGGACCUAAGCCGAGGCCGAAAGGCGUAGGCGAUGGACAACAGGUAGAUAUUCCUGUACCACCUCAUGAACGUUUGAACGAUGGGGGGACGCAGUAGGAUAAGGAAUGCGCACGGAUGGAUGUGUGCGCCCAAGCAGUGAGAAAGUCGGAUAGGCAAAUCCGUCCGAUAAUUUCAAGCUGUGACGGGGAGGGAAAUAGAGUACCGAAGUUCCGGAUUUCACACUGCCAAGAAAAGCCUCUAGUAAGUUCAUAGGUGCCCGUACCGCAAACCGACACAGGUAGGCGAGGAGAGAAUCCUAAGGUGAGCGGGAGAACUCUCGUUAAGGAACUCGGCAAAAUGACCCCGUAACUUCGGGAGAAGGGGUGCUCCUUUAAGGAGGAGCCGCAGUGAAUAGGCCCAAGCGACUGUUUAGCAAAAACACAGGUCUCUGCGAAGCCGAAAGGCGAAGUAUAGGGGCUGACACCUGCCCGGUGCUGGAAGGUUAAGGGGAAACGUUAGUGCUUCGGCACGAAGCGUAGAACCGAAGCCCCAGUAAACGGCGGCCGUAACUAUAACGGUCCUAAGGUAGCGAAAUUCCUUGUCGGGUAAGUUCCGACCCG